UACGUAGGGGGCAAGCGUUGUCCGGAUUUACUGGGCGUAAAGAGCGCGCAGGCGGUCGUGCAAGUCGCGUGUGAAAGCCCCCGGCUCAACUGGGGAGGGUCACGCGAUACUGCUUGACUGGAAGGCAGGAGAGGGAAGUGGAAUUCCCGGUGUAGUGGUGAAAUGCGUAGAUAUCGGGAGGAACACCAGUGGCGAAGGCGACUUCCUGGCCUGUUCUUGACGCUGAGGCGCGAAAGCUAGGGUAGCAAACGGG
Molecule: ribosomal RNA, 253 nt
Filed under: uncultured bacterium
Lineage: Bacteria
Description: partial 16S ribosomal RNA
Rfam family: Bacterial small subunit ribosomal RNA
Source: RNAcentral